RNAcentral lists this ribosomal RNA (301 nucleotides) under uncultured bacterium. Its description in RNAcentral is "partial 16S ribosomal RNA". It matches the Rfam family "Bacterial small subunit ribosomal RNA", at positions 509 to 807 of the family's 1533-position model. The record is from RNAcentral.
CAGUCGCCGCGGUAAUACGUAGGUGGCAAGCGUUGUCCGGAAUUGUUGGGCGUAAAGGGCUCGCAGGCGGUCUCUUAAGUCUGAUGUGAAAGCCCCCGGCUCAACCGGGGAGGGUCAUUGGAAACUGGGAAACUUGAGUGCAGAAGAGGAGAGUGGAAUUCCGCGUGUAGCGGUGAAAUGCGUAGAGAUGUGGAGGAACACCAGUGGCGAAGGCGACUCUCUGGUCUGUAACUGACGCUGAGGAGCGAAAGCGUGGGGAGCGAACAGGAUUAGAGACCCCCGUAGUCCCUGUCUCUUAUAC